Molecule: non-coding RNA, 381 nt
Organism: Tachysurus vachellii
Lineage: Eukaryota; Metazoa; Chordata; Actinopteri; Siluriformes; Bagridae
Source: the annotation of a RefSeq genome assembly
AUGUUCACUGUUAUAUUCAUGUGUCUGUGGCUUUUACUAGGUGACUCCAUGGCGGAUUUAAUAAAGCCACUUUUCACUCAUAAAGUUGUAGAUGAAGGUGAUGAUGUUACUCUGUCCUGCAAAUAUGAAACAAGCAAAACACAAAGCAGUCUGCACUGGUACAGACAAUAUCCAGAAUCUAAACCUGAAUUCCUUCUUUAUAUUCUUCACAUUGGAGCUCCAAGUCCCAACCGUCCCCCAAGAAUGUUUGCUAAAGUUGAUGAUAAUAAUAAACAAGUGAAUCUGUUCAUCUCCUCUGCUGCUGUAUCAGACUCUGCUCUAUACUACUGUGCUCUGCAGCCCACAGUGACAGGAAAUCCAGCUGCACUGUACAAAAACUAA